RNAcentral lists this ribosomal RNA (1215 nucleotides) under Triticum aestivum (bread wheat). RNAcentral describes it as "partial small subunit ribosomal RNA". The record is from RNAcentral. Lineage: Eukaryota; Viridiplantae; Streptophyta; Magnoliopsida; Poales; Poaceae.
AUGGCCAUGCAGCAACUCGUGUGCUGGCUCUGCGCCUUCCUGGCCCUCCUCCUCCUCAAGCUUAUUAAGAAGCGUGGCGCCAGGACGACGGCGCCGGCGCUGAAGCUGCCGCCAAGCCCGUCGUCGCUGCCGUUCAUCCACAACCUGCACCACCUCCUCCGCAGCCCGAUCGCGCACCGCGCCGUGGCCGACAUCGCGCGCGAGCUGGACGCGCCGCUCAUGUACCUCCAGCUCGGGGAGCUCCCGGCCGUGUUCGUCUCGUCCGCGGACGCCGCGCGCGAGAUGAUGAAGGUGCACGACAUGAAGUUCGCCUGGCGGCCGUAUCCACCCACCAUACAGAAGCUGCGCCCCAUGGGGAAGGGGAUCUUCUUCGCGCCGUACGGCGCUCUGUGGCGGCAGCUCCGCAAGAUCUCCAUCGUGAAGCUGCUCAGCGUCCGGCGCGUCCACUCGUUCCACCGCGUGCGGGAGGAGGAGGCCGGCCGCCUCGUAGCCGCCAUCGCCGCCACGCCGCCGGGAGAAACCGUCAACCUCUGCGAGCAGAUCUUUUGGGUCAUCGCGGACUCGACGAUGCGCACCAUGAUCGGCGAGAGGUUCGAGAGGAGGGACGAGUUCCUGGUGGUGUUGGCGGACAUCGUCAAGAUCGCAUCGGGUUUCACCAUGGCCGAAUGGUUCCCGUCAUCGUGGCUCGUGCGCGCCUUCGGUGGCACGAGGCGGCGCGGCCACAGGGGCUACCUCACGACCUACAAGCUGGUGGAGAACGCCUACCGGCAGCGACAGAAGCGAAAGGAGGCCAUGGCUGCACCGUCGACCAGGAACGCCGUGACGGGAGAGGAGGAGGACCUGAUGGACGAGCUCAUGAGGAUACACGAGGAAGGUGACCUCGAGGUGCCUCUCACCAUUGGCAACAUCAAGGCUGUCACGAUAGAUCUCUUUGGCGCCGGGACGGAGACGUCAUCAGAUGCACUCCAAUGGGCGAUGUCAGAGCUGAUGAGGAACCCGAGAGUGAUGCAGAAAGCACAGGCCGAGCUGCGCGACAAACUCCGCGGGAAGCCUACCGUGACCGAGGCCGACCUGGCCGACAUGACUUACCUGAAGCUCGUCGUCAAGGAGACCCUGAGGCUGCACCCGGCGCUGCCAUUGCUCGUCCCAAGGGAGUGCAACGAGAGUGCAAGAUCAUGGGGUACGACGUGCCCAAAGGCUUCGUCGUGUUCGUGA